UGAACUUAAGCAGCGCUGGUGCGCAUGCUGAGCUCGUGAGCACGCCGAGCUCUUGCGCGCCUGGCCCACGCUAUCCCAGGUGUACGUUCCCCAUCGCUCUCACCUGCCCAAGUCUCGGGGCCGCUGGCAUGACGCCGGGGAGAGCUCAGAGCGAGGAGGAGAUGGUAGAGAUCACCCUCUACAUCUCCAACGGGAAGGCGCAUCUUACUACCCAGCAGAAAGAAGAAAAUCUCUCUGGGCCAGGACAGCCCAGGCACUGAGAAGCCUCCAUAUUUUGGACGCCCAGCUCCUCCAAUGGACUCCUCGGUUAUUACAGCCCCUCCAAACUACUCCUUUUCCCUAUAAUAGACUCAGUGGUCUCUGAGGAUGUGGCUGCGGACUUCACCUGGGCAGAGUGGGCUUUGCUAAGUCCUGUUCAGAGGAACUCUACAGAGAUGUGAGGCUUCGAACCUUCAGGAACUUGGCCUCAGCAGUGAGCUCCUGGGAGACGAAGACCUUAUUAAGGGUCACGGGUUACAGCCUGGAGAUAUUGGAAAAGACGUCAAAAAAGGGACUCUCUACAACCACGUUGGAAAGGACCAUACCAGCUACUCUUAACAAAUCCCUGGGGGGGGCAAAACUUAAAGGACUAAUCUCUUGGAGUCACGUCUCUCACCUCAGAAGGGCCUCCCCUCCUGAAUGGACUGGACUGCAACCCCUAUUUGUGACACCCCACUUGCACUAAGAGAGGCUCCGUCAGACCAGGAUGAGAGGAACACGACAGCAGUGGUAGACAGCCACCCCAAGAGUCCAGACCAGACCUGUAAGAAACCGCCUCUCUCCAUCAAAAUGGAAAGUUACGGGACUUCCCUGGCAGCCCAGUGGUUAAGACACCCCGCUUUCCCUGCAGGGGGCACGGGUUCCAUCCCUGAUCAGGGAACUAAGAUCCCGCAUGCCGCGCGGCACAGCCAAAAAAUAGAAAAAGAAAUGGAAAGUUACUGUUCUGUUUCUAGCUAUGUCCUUAGGCCAGUGUUUAGGGUGGAAAGAAAACUCUUUAGUAAAACGAUCACAAAGUAUAGGUACUGGGGGAGGUUAACUGAUUGCUGGAUUUGUCAUCAGAUUAAUCCGUCAGUGCAAGGCCGAUUAAACCCCUUGUAAUUCCUGCCACUGACUUUUCAGAUGUUUCUAAUGGUACCACUUACUGAGACACACCUCCCUCUGGCCUAACUUUUCAGGUUCAAAUUCUCCAAAACACUAAUAUGUCCGUCCCUUGACUGACACUAUCUUCGGUUCUUAGAGAUGGCACACAACUCACCCUAGGCCCCCCUCACUCUGUCCCUUACUUUUUUUUGGCCGUGCCGCGCAGCAUGCGGGAUCUUAGUUCCCCGACCAGGGAUCAGACCCGAGCCCCCUGCAGUGGAAGCACGGAGUCGUAACCACCGGACAGCCGGGGAAGUCCCCGUGUCCCGUACUUAAUUAACAGAGGUCUUAAAGAGAAAGAUACAAGUCACGUAUGCCAGCAACUCCCCCACCUCCAAUAUCAUACGGAUAGCUUUUGGAAAGUCUGCAAAAGAAAUGGCCCACGGUUUAAUACUGUGUUACGAGAACUUCCAGUUAACGAAGCCAUCAACAAAAGCCCUCUGGGAGGAGUCACUUGUGCUCCCCCAGGUUUUGUCUUCAUAUAUGGUAUUGGAACUGACCCACCUUCCCAAGGGUAUUCACAUAAAUGUGUGAAGAGCUGGCAAGUAGAAGGCGGGACGUUAUGUUACCCCAUUGUCUAUCCAAAAAGAGAGAUGGACCUCCUUUUUCUCCCCAUUACAGAGUCGGGAGAUCCAUGCGAGGAGGAUACCAAAGAAACCUGGUGGCAAAGUCUUUUCGGAAUCUUGGUUCCUAGCGCAGGAGUAUAUGUAAACAGCGAUACGCUUAGAAGCCUAUCAGCCACCAUUGGUCAGAUGGUUGAAGAGACUGCAAGAAGCACUGCAGCACAGCAGAAAUCCUUAGAUUCCUUAGCCCAAGUUGUGUGAGAUAACGGAAUUGCCUUAGAUCUCCUACUGCCCAAACAGGGAGGUGUUUGUGCUAUUGGCCACACGUGUUGCACUUAUGUUAACACCUCCAGAGGUUGAGACAUGCCCGGGUAAAAUUUUCCGAAGAGCAAAAUGGUUACAAGAUGUGAGAAAGAGUGAUCCUUCAAGUCAGCGGUCCCCAGUCUUUUUGGCACCAGGGACCGGUUUCAUGGAAGACAGUUUUUCCAUGGACCGGGGCGGGGGCAGGGAGGUAUGGUUCAGGCAGUGAUGCGAGCAAUGGGGAGCGGCAGAUGAAGCUUCGCUCACCUGCCCGCCACUCACCUCCUGCUGUGCGGCCCGGUUCCUAACAGGCCGAGGACUGGUAGUGGUCCGUGUCCCAAGGGUUGGGGACCCCUGCUUUAAGUGACCUUUUUAGUCAGCUACCCUCAGGACUAGGCAACAUUUUCCGCUUUGCUUUACAGACAAUGGUUACUAUACGCACUGCCAUUCUUUUCCUGGCUAUCAAAUUACUCGUGACUGUAUCACUGCUUGUUCUAAGUCUACGGCCAAAAGCACACCUACAAUGAUUGUACAACAAACUGAGAUGACUGAUCAAAUGUAUAAUCUAUAAAACUUGCCUUCAUCAGUGUAUUUCUAUGAUUACUGCAUUAAAUUACUAUGAUAAAAUAUAUAAUGAUGCUUAAACAAAUUGAAACUGCUGAUCAUUUCUAUAAUUCUGUAUAAGGUAACGGACAUACACAGUGCACAUAAAGUACAACUGGCCUCAGUCCUAUUGGACACCUUAGAAUUGGCUACCAGUCCUUGCCAAGCAUCCUACUAGUGCAUCCCCCUCCCCCCAAAAGAAAAAAAAAGGACCGGGCUCUCGAGACCCAGCAUGGAGGGACAUGAUGAAUCGGAGGCAGGUAAGCAACCACCUCGGCACCAAAGGACCAAAUAGUUGAUCAUCUAAUGCUUUCUAUCAAAAGAUUUAUGAUCUAAAGGGGGAAGGUGAUGAGGGAAAUCAUAAAUAUUUUAUGGCAGGACAAUCAAACUAAGAAAGAAAACAAGAAAACAAAUGACAUGCUCCCUUUGUGACAGGCUUUUCCCAGUGUUCAACUUUUCCCAGUGUUCAAUGUGCAUAUCUAUAUGAUACAUUAACCGGCUCUCCUCAAAGCAGCAGGAUGAAAUCAACCUUGAGAAAAACAUGACCCUUUCUUUAGACGCCAGCAUUUCAAUAUUGUAAUUCUAUGACUAAUAUAUCUCUUUUUCAUCUCAUACAAGGGUACAGGGGGUCGCACUGACCAAAGGCUUGUCUGUACAUGCAAUAUUAAGGGGGAAAAAAACCCCAACUUGUUGAUUGAGCUAUGUACACAGUGCUAACCUGUCAAUAUGAGACAUAAUUUGUCUCAAAAAUGUAUAAAACUGCAUCUCUGACUCCUGAUCAAUGGAGCCGUUUUCAGACUUUCUGAGAAUGUUUCCUGGGUUAUAAUCCUCAGUUUGACUCGAAUAAAAUUCUCUUUUCUUUUUUCUUAA
Long non-coding RNA from Orcinus orca (killer whale), 3515 nucleotides. RefSeq lists it as uncharacterized. Lineage: Eukaryota; Metazoa; Chordata; Mammalia; Artiodactyla; Delphinidae. The record is from RefSeq and is a predicted model, not a curated record. The transcript has 4 exons.